GUAGCUUUACCCAAUUUCUUUUUAAGGGUAUAUAAGAAUUCACCGAGUCUCAAACUUUCAAAACAUACAUAAAGGAAACAUAUCAUUUUUCUCCUUUCUUUCUCUCCUUCAGUCACCUACCUCUCCUCUCAACAAUGACUUGUAAGUAUAUGCUAUCAGUCUUUUUGAUUUUUUGCAUUGUUUCUCUCACACUUGCCAGUAACUAUAAAUAGCUAGUUAGUACAAAAGUAUCCAUUACCAUGUUUCUUUCAAAAGUAUAAAUUCAAUUUUUAUUUUCCUUUUCUUCCUCUCUUUUAUUUUCUUCCUAUUUAUUCCAAAUCACUGUAAAAAUAUUUACAAAAGUAUUCAUUGAUUUUUUUAUACCCUCUUUAUCAUAAUUACAAUGUUAAAGUUUUAAAACUUUAAAAGGGUAAAUUUAUUAUGUAAAUAAUUUAAUAAAUGACUAAUUUGUUAUAAUGAAAAAGAUAUAUAUAUGAUCAAUUUCUUAUAAAUAAAUACUCGUUAAGAUAAAAGAUAAUGAUUUUUUCAUAAUAACACUAAAUUAGAGUGAGGAUUGUGACACAAUGAUUUUAGAUAAUGAUUUUUUUAAAGAUUUUAUAAUAUUAGUUUGAAUUAAAUACGUCCAAAAUACAUAUUUAGACAUAAAAGAGAAUGAACAUAAUGAUUAGUGUAAAGAUAAAAGAUAAUGAAUUUUUUAUUAUGUUACUCCCUCCUUUCCUUUUUAAGUGUCAUUUUUUGACUUUUUACAUGUACUAAGAAAAUUAAUCAUUAUUGUUAUUUUUUAAACAAUAAUUCUUUUUUUAUCUAUAAUACCCUUAAUUAUUUAUUAUAUUUAUUUUAUUUUUUUCUAUCUAUAAUAAUUAUCUAGGGUAAUUUUGACAAAAGUGCAAUUAAUACUUCUUUGAACUUUGCAAGUUACAAUUAAAAAAGAAUAAUUUUUUUCAAGAAAAUGACACUUAAAACGGAACGGAGGGCGUAGUUUGAAUUCAAUAUGUCUAAAAUAUUUUUUUUAAAAUUAUCAUGUUUUUCAAAUUAAAUCCCUAAAUAACCAUUUUUUCAAAAAAAAAAAACCACAUUUCCAAAUAGAUGCGCCAGUUGAACUGGCGCAUCCAUUUACAUUUCAAAGGAGGCUCCAGCUCCAUUGGCGCAUGCUUCCAAUGGCAUUGCAUGGAUGCGUCAUGGUGUGUGUGGCGCCUAGGCCUUUGCUGCAUGCAUUUCAUAGUUCAUCUAUAAAGACCCUCGCAUCUCCCAUAUUUUUUUACACAACUUCUUACCCUCCAACCCCAUUUUCUUUCAUUCUACUUCAAUCACCUUUAACUUUUCUUUCUUUAAUCGUGUCUGAAUAGAUUCACAAGAGAAAUACUGAUUUAAUCUUUUCAGCAGUCACAUCACCGAUAAAGAUUCGACUUUGCAAUAUAGAUUCAUUAGAACUUCUUAAUCAGACGCUGGUUAGAAGGAGAAAUUGCAUAUGGUGAAAGGAUUAGAAGGAUUUAAUGGCUUGAGUCCACGUUCAAUCAAAAUGGAUAAGUGCGUGAAUGGUGGAUAUUAAGACUGACAGAGACGUUCGCAGGAUGGUGCAUAAUAUGUUUAAAAUUGUUUUGAUGGUUUUAAUCGCUUAGUUAUAGUAAUGGUAUUUUAAUUGUUGUAGUUAUUUGUGUUGUUGUUUAUGUGUUACUUGUGUGUUGAAUGUGUUGUAUUUGUUUGUGAUGGUAUUGCAAUAAACUUUGUUUUUUAUAUAUUUCAAAAGAGGUACAUGUAAAAUUAUCUUGUUGUGCUCGUUCCAACACUAGGAUAGUUAAUACGAUGUGA
This 1809-nucleotide long non-coding RNA is filed under the name Lathyrus oleraceus (garden pea). RNAcentral describes it as "Pisum sativum (pea) long non-coding RNA (PSAT_LNC035854)". Lineage: Eukaryota; Viridiplantae; Streptophyta; Magnoliopsida; Fabales; Fabaceae. The record is from RNAcentral.